GAUAACGAACGAGACCUUAACCUGCUAAAUAGUUAGGCCAACGUUUGUUGGUCGUCAACUUCUUAGAGGGACUAUUGACUAUUAGUCAAUGGAAGUUUGAGGCAAUAACAGGUCUGUGAUGCCCUUAGAUGUUCUAGGCCGCACGCGCGCUACACUGAUCAAGUCAACGAGUUUACAACCUUGGCCGGAAGGUCUGGGUAAUCUUUUGAAACUUGAUCGUGCUGGGGAUAGUCCAUUGCAAUUAUUGGGCUUCAACGAGGAAUUCCUAGUAAGCGUGAGUCAUCAGCUCGCGUUGAUUACGUCCCUGCCCUUUGUUCACACCGCCCGUCGCUACUACCGAUUGAAUGG
Molecule: ribosomal RNA, 348 nt
Filed under: uncultured Mortierella
Lineage: Eukaryota; Fungi; Mortierellomycota; Mortierellomycetes; Mortierellales; Mortierellaceae
Description: SSU rRNA
Rfam family: Eukaryotic small subunit ribosomal RNA
Source: RNAcentral